RNAcentral lists this ribosomal RNA (465 nucleotides) under uncultured bacterium. RNAcentral's name for it is "SSU rRNA". It matches the Rfam family "Bacterial small subunit ribosomal RNA", at positions 26 to 518 of the family's 1533-position model. The record is from RNAcentral.
AGGACUAACGCUGGCGGCGUGCCUAACACAUGCAAGUCGAGCGGGGUAGCAAUACCCAGCGGCAGACGGGUGAGUAACACGUGGUCAACCUUCCCGACAGUGGGGGAUAACUAGCCGAAAGGUUAGCUAAUACCGCAUACGAUCUAUGAGGGGCAUCCCUUAUAGAUGAAAGGAGCAAUCCGCUUUCGGACGGGACCGCGUCCCAUUAGCUAGAUGGUGGGGUAAUGGCCUACCAUGGCGACGAUGGGUAGCUGGUUUGAGAGAGCGACCAGCCACACUGGGACUGAGAAACGGCCCAGACUCCUACGGGAGGCAGCAGUGAGGAAUUUUCCGCAAUGGGCGAAAGCCUGACGGAGCGACGCCGCGUGUGGGAAGAAGGCCUUCGGGUCGUAAACCACUGUCGAAGGGGACGAUAAUGACGGUACCCUUGGAGGAAGCCCCGGCUAACUACGCGCCAGCAGCCGC